UGGGGAAUAUUGGACAAUGGGCGAAAGCCUGAUCCAGCCAUGCCGCGUGAGUGAUGAAGGCCCUAGGGUUGUAAAGCUCUUUCAACGGUGAAGAUAAUGACGGUAACCGUAGAAGAAGCCCCGGCUAACUUCGUGCCAGCAGCCGCGGUAAUACGAAGGGGGCUAGCGUUGUUCGGAAUUACUGGGCGUAAAGCGCACGUAGGCGGACAUUUAAGUCAGGGGUGAAAUCCCGGGGCUCAACCCCGGAACUGCCUUUGAUACUGGGUGUCUAGAGUCCGGAAGAGGUGAGUAGAAUUCCGAGUGUAGUGGUGAAAUUCGUAGAUAAUCGGAGGAACGCCAGUGGCGAAGGCGGCUCACUGGUCCGGUACUGACGCUGAGGUGCGGAAGCGUGGGGAGCAAACA
RNAcentral lists this ribosomal RNA (402 nucleotides) under uncultured bacterium. RNAcentral describes it as "bacterial SSU rRNA". It matches the Rfam family "Bacterial small subunit ribosomal RNA", at positions 355 to 774 of the family's 1533-position model. The record is from RNAcentral.